Molecule: long non-coding RNA, 8195 nt
Filed under: Homo sapiens (human)
Lineage: Eukaryota; Metazoa; Chordata; Mammalia; Primates; Hominidae
Description: HSALNT0095855
Source: RNAcentral
GUUCAAAAGACCUGGUUUCUAUCCUGGCCUUGGAAUAAUUCUUCAUGUAACCUUGGGAAGUUGUCACCAUCCUUCUGGUCACAAAAGUGCCUGAGUAAGUUGAAAUGUCUCCAAAAGCAAUAAUGUUUAAUUACUGCUCACCACCUGGACAGUUAUGUAAUAACGAGCAUGUAAAAAAGGAAGUCGUUACAAUCUUAUGUGGAGUCAUAUAACCUUAUUAUCAACAAAGCCAGUGGAGCCUUAAUUUGUAAAUGGAUCCCCAAUCCUGAUGUAAAAUACAAUAAAAAAAUUUACAAUCUUUGCUUCCAGUUUGGGUCCUUAUGCAGCUGGGAAGCAUCCUCCAUUUCUACAAGGAUAAUGAAUUCCGAGAUGAUUCCCUGAGAGGAAAGAAGCCUGUUAAUGGGACACUGAGGCUGUGUGUGUGUGUGUGUGUGUGUGUGUGUGUGUGAGAGAGAGAGAGAGAGAGAGAGAGAGAGGUCACAUUAGGAAGAAUUUAUUGAAUGCUAGAUAACAUGGAAAAGCUAUAAUUACUGUUCUUGGUGAAGCCUCUCCAGAGUUUCUCUUGGGACACCGUGGGAUUCAUUUGAGAACAAUGGAGUUAAUGAAUCAACCCCGUGCUGGUCAAAGUGAAGAGCUUCUUUGAGUCAUGAUCCAUGCCUGAAAUGGUAUUUCAUUUUGUACUUUGAAAAAAUCAGCUUUUUGAGCUGAACUUUCUUGUUCCAUGAUGGAUACUUUCUCGGUUUCUAUGAUAUUUGUCUGAUCUUCAAUGAAUGUAUUAAUUCUCGAGUUUCAGCUGAUUCUUUCAUCAAGAAACAUCACAAAUUACCUCUAUUAGUCUGUUCUUGCAUUGCUAUAAAGAAAAACCCGAGACUGGGUAAUUUGUAAAGGAAUGAGGUUUAAUUGGCUCAUGGUUCCACAGGCUGUACAGGAAGCAUGGUGCUGACAUCUGCUCAGCUUCUGGAGAGGCCUCUGGAUACUUACAAUCAUGGCAGAAGGCAAAGGGGGAGCCAGCAUAUCUUACAUGGCAGGAACAGGAGCAAGAGAGACAGAGGGGAGGUUCUUCACACCUUUAAACAACCAGAUCUCGUGAGAACUUACUCACUAUCACGAGAAUAGCACCAAGAAGAUGGUGCUAAACCAUGCAUGAGAAAUCCACCUCCACGAUCCAAUCACCUCCCACCUGGCCCCACCUCAAACACUGGGGAUUACAAUUUGACAUGAGAUUAUGGUGAGGACACAGAUCCAAAUCAUGUCAAUAUAUAAUUAACCUUUCUGCCUUUUCAAAAAUAAUAUGAAAAAUAAGAACUGUUGUCCUUCUUCUCGUCAGGGAGGAAAUGAGGGGUUUAAAUAAAUGCACCAUUGACCACCUUCUGCCUUUUUCCUGUUAGAGUCCAGCAUAGACUGAAAGGCCAUUCCGCAGUGUAUUUCAGAUCAGUUCUGUAUUGUGGCUUGUAUGUAAUAUGACUCACUUUACUUUCCUUUACGGAGAAAUAGAUUGUCUUUAAUAUGCAACUAUGAUUGUUUGCUGUUCUCUUUAUAUAUUCAGGCUGAGUCUUCAUAAGCCACCUGCAUUUGGAGUUGAAAACCAAUGGUCUAGAUGAAAUAUGACUUUCAAUUAUGCCACAGUCAGAGAAGCUGAAAUAAGAAAGCCACACUGGAGGAAGUCAAGUUUAUCUUAUUGGAGUGAAUUGGGCAUGUAGAAUAAAAUCCAGCAUUCACUCAGCACACAGCCCCACUGACCCUAUUGUUCAUCCCCCUCCAAUUUAUUGUUGUAUUUCCCAGCUGCCCACAGAGCUUCCCCUGCAAUAUUGUGGACACCCAGGCAAAUGAAAAUGCCAAUCUUCUCCCAUCCCUGUCUUGCUGUAUUAGGCAUGUGCUCAGCUCUGAAAGAUUUCUUUGGGGGUCUUGCCUUUCCCUAAGAACAUCUAGGGGAAGGUUUGUCUCACCUCUUGUUUCCAAGUGGGAGGGUUGAGAAUAAUAGCUCUUGUCACUUCCCUUUGCCUUGUUAUGGGGAAUAUUUAGUGCUGCAGCCUGGGUGUGGGGGCAAUAUCUUGGAUGUGAUAAUGUUGCUUCCUGCAUCAGUGAACAUGGUAUUGAUUGUAAGCUGUCAACCUUUCUGCAUGCUUUUCAGGGUCCCAGAAGGCUAACUACUGCAGGGAAGGUAAUGCAUCAGGCAGGGACACAUAUGCUCUAUUAACUAACACUGCAAUCUAAGCUUGAUCACUUGCUUUUAACACAUCUUGGCUCACUGGCUCCCAAUUUUUUCUUAAUUCCCUGACUCCUCUGAGCAGUCCUCUGAUGCCCUGUUUGGAUCUCCAUAUAUCAUUCAAACUCCCAAUGGCAUGCCGCUCAUCUUAUAAGCUUCCUGUGGGCAAGUGCUGUGCCUGACUUCCUUACACGUUUAUUUGUUCAUUCAUUCAACAAAACUUUUGAGCACCUACUAUGAGCCAGACAAUGUUCUGUGCUCUGGGGAUACAGGAGUGGCCUAAACAAUGAUGCAGUCCUCAUGGAACUAAGGGUGGUUGAGAAAGCAUCUCUGAGGAGGUGACAUUUGAGCUGAGUUUAUCAGUAUAUCCCCUGUGGCUGGACUAUAAGUAUUUGCGAAGUUUGGAAACCAUAUUUCCUCAUUUUAGUGCCUCAUAGCCUGGCUAUUGGAGAAGCUCCUGAUAUGUGAACCACACUAAGUCCAUGCAUUAUUAUUUUUCAGAUCAUGCAUUAUUGCCCACUCACCUUACCAUGUCUCCUUAUUUCUCUUGGUCUGCCUUCCUACUUUUUACUAAUCAGUCAUACCAGAGUGUUGUGAAUUCCAUAUAUAUAUAGCAUAUGCUGUUUUGCCUCCACUGUCCUAUCCUGAUGUCUGGAAUAUGCUUUUCCUUUCUCUUCUCCUGGAUAACUCACUCCCUUUAUCUUUCGGAUUUCACCUUGGGAAUCACCUCCUCUGGGAAGCUUCUGGUCUGGAUGAGUUAGUGCUCCUUUGUGUCCUCCUGGCACCCAGACACAUCCAUCAUAGUGCAUAUGUUUUAUAGGAUUAGCAGAACUGUAGCAAGAAAUGUGCACUGAAUGCAUAUUUGUGGGCCAGGCAUCCUUCUAAGAGCUUUGUGCAUAUUAAAUCAUGCAAUCUUCACAGCAAUUUUAUGAGAUAGAUGUCGUUUUUAUCCUUAUCUCAUAAUGAGAAAAUCGAGGCACAGAGAGGUUGUCAUUUUUCUAGGUUGCUCAGCUUUUACAUGGUGGAGCUCAGAUUUUAACCCAGGCAGGCAGGCUGGCAGGCUCGGUAUCCUGGGCUCUUGACAUUCCACUGCCACCAUUGCCUGUGAGUUUGUCUGCACCUCCCGCUAUCUGUGAGCUGUGUGAAGAUGGAGCUGUCACUGCUGCUUCCACAGACCACCCUGGCAUGGGCUUGGCAGGCAGUACAUGAACAAUCAUUAACCAUUUAGUAAAUGAAUGAAUGAAUGCAUGAAAUUCGCCCAACUGAGCAACUGUUUAGAGUUCCAAAAUGUUGCUUUUCCUUUUACCACUGAGGAAAGCCCCUGUUCCCUUCUACUCCAGCUUCCUCAGUCUUCCAUGACUCCCACAAGUAUGUAUUACUCUGGCUGGAAGGGAGGGCAUCCCUAGCCAACCAGAGCAAGAAUCACAGCAAUCAUGGCUUGUUCCUACAAUUUCUGGGUUUCUGUCAAAUAUGAGUUAUGAAGAAGUGUCCUCUCCACUCUUUCUCAAACCAAAUACAGCAGCCAAAAUGAUUGGAGUGGCAACUGAGAGGGCUUGAGAUGGGCAAGCAGGAGCUGUUCAGUGGGCACUGUUCACCCAGGAAAACCCAGGUUGACUUUUUGGGGAAUGAGCAGCAGGGGCGGGAAGGCUGGGAGUGGACUGGGAUCUGUCUUGGCAGUGGCUAAGCCCCUUCUUCUGGCCUGACAGUGAUCAUUGCUUUGAUUGCAGCUGAGGCAGGGAUCAGCGGAGAUGGCAGAUCAUGAUGGUUCUGCCACCAGCAGUUUAACCAAUGGGGCAUGGAAUAUCUAAAUUGGGGGACAGUUAAUCAGUCAUAAUAAGGUCAAAGUCAGAAGUUGGAGACCUGUGAGCCACUUGACUUCACUCUCUGCUUUGAUGACAGACCAAAUUUGUAUUCUUGGUCAGCUGUCAGGCAAUAUUUAGUCACAGAGAAAUGGCGUGUUUGUGAGUAUCCACGCUAGGGAAAAUAAUCAAGCCAAGGUAACUCUGCAUUACCAAUAACUGUGAUGGAAGAAGUAUAGGAUCUGGAACAGGAUAGAUCUAGAUAAAACUUCCUGCUACGUCAUCUAACCCUUUUGAGUCUGUUUCUCGCUAUAAAAAUGGAAUAAUACAUCUACCUAUCAGGUGAUUAACAAUGAUUUAAAACAGUGCCUCUCCCAAUGCCUGUCAUUGCAAUAACUACUCAGGAAAUAUUGGUUUCCUUUUAUUCUUUCCGUCUACUUUACACUUAAAUACAGUGCUUAAAAUAAGGUUUAAUAAAUAUUUGUUAUUGGAUGAACAAAAGGAAAAAGGGGUAGGCUAGUUCUAGUAUGUCGAAAAUGUGUUUCUAAUGGAAGGAGAGAAACAUUGGCUUUCUGUUUCCAUGCCAUAUGGAUUUUGCUUCAUAUUCUGGUAUAUGUUGGUCUACCUAUUGGAAACGCUGUAUCAUGCUUUGUUGAGCAAAUUUAGUUAAAAUUCUGCUUAGAUGACACAUUCUGAGAACCUUUUCUUAUCACUCAUUGAUUAACUAUUUCUUCCUCUGUAUGACUUCUGCCCUUCAUAGAUAUCUCAUUGUAAAAAUGUUUACAGUAUGCAAAUAUGCACUUUCUCCUAUGUGAGUGUCAUCUCUUGGAGGGCAGGGGCCAGUGGUUUAAAUAUCUUAGUAACUCCAGCCCCUUGUCUAGAACCUGGCUGCCUGACACAUCCCAGGCAACCAAUGAAUCUUUAAUUCAUUGAGCUUAUGGGUCAUUACUGGGGCUUGUUUUCUGAUCAGUAACUUCCAUCUACAUGCAUACACACACACACACACACACACACACACACACACACACACACAUAAUGUAUGAUGGGGAUAGUGGAUAAGAACUUUAACUAAAACUGCCUGGCUUUGUCACUUGUGAACUGUGUAAAUUUGGUUGUCAUUCAUCUGUUUCUGUAUCUAUAAAAUGAGAACAACAAUAGUAUCUGCAUCUGGAGUUUUAGGGGUAAAUAAGUCAAUACAUGUGAAAUUUGUAGAACAAAGCCUGGCUUAUAAUAAGUGCUCAAUAAAUGUUAGCAACUAUUGUAUGUUAGAGCUGUAUUUUAACAGCUCUGGCUUUAGAGUCAGAUACCUUGAGUUGGAGUCCUGGUUCCAUCUCUCUCGGGCUUUGUGCCCUUGGCUAGGUUGACAACUUGAGUCUAUUUUCUCAUUUGCAAAAUGGAAAUACUAAUGCCACCAUGGGGUCUGGGAGAGGAGAUAAUGAGAUGAGGCAUGGAAAGCAAUAGUAUAUUACCCAUCACUGUUGUUGCUAUUAUUAGUUUAUGGUGCUUUAAACCUAUCAAAAUAGUUGUAAGUAAAUGGAUUUCUUGUUCUCCCAAUAACAAUUCUCUGAGCUAGGAUAGAUGUCUUUCUGGCCAUUUUACAGGUGAUGACACUGACAUAGGGACUGAGUGGGUAGCUUAAGUUCCAUGGUUACCAGGAGCAGGACCCACGUUUCCUGUCUCCCAGUCUCAUCCUUUUUCCACUGACCAGGUUGGUUGCUCCCUUGGAAAGCAGUCCCUGAGAGUUGACUUAGAAGUUCAGGGGGAAGAGGUGGAUGAAGGCAUGUUGGAUGCACAGUGAAUCAGGUUGCAGUGUGAAUGUUUCUCAGUGGUGUGUCUAGACUUCCCCCAUCCAAAGACUAACCAGGCCUGACUCCAUUUCACUUCCAAGAUCAGAUGAGAUCGGGUGCAUUCAGGGUGGUAUGUCCAAAGACUGUGUCAGGGGAUUUGUUUUGGAAGUGGGGUGGCAUUAUUAAAAACACACCGGCUUCAUCCACACAUUCAUCACGGAAGAGGGAAAAUUAGUAAGGGUUCCACCAUUCAGGCUGUGGACUAUAGUGUCAUCCCUAAAUCCUCAUUAUGAGGCCUACCAGGGCUUUCUUGAGCCCUGCAGGCAGCUAGCAAAGGGACUGAAAAAGAAAUGAGGCCUGGGGUUGUCUGGGGAGGGAAGCUUUAGGCAGUUGCUCUGUAGGCUUGAAGGGAGGGAAAUUAUGGCUUUUCAAGUCCUUAGAAAUUGGGCAUUUGAGUGUGUACCUUUUAUUAUAAUGGACCCUAGAAUAUUCAAAGGAAGUUUAGUGGAGAUAGCUGACUUAUUUCAUUGGGCCACUGAGCUAGCAGAAUUUUAGCUUCAUCUUUAUUCCACCUUGCAAUUGUUCCAUCUUAUAUAUGCUGGUUGCCUAAUAGAAGUUGAUUUGGUUGAAUUAAUUACAAGAUCAAUGAGAGGUUUAAAGGUGCUUUUUUUUCAAUGGAAGAGUAAAGGCAGGAGCCAAACUUGAAGGAGUUAAGAAGCAACUUGAUUCCCACUGCCCAUCUGCCUUUAUAUAUCCCACUUCUUGAUGCUGGCUAGUAUCUUCCUUUUUUGUUUUUUCUAACUAAUCUUCCUCCUCCUGACAGAAGAGUACGAAUGUCUACCAAAGUUCAGCUUUUUGCAUUACUUGUUUUUAACGUCAGGAACUGAAUGUUGCGCAAGGAUGGUUUUUGUAAAAGCCAGGGAUGGCGUGGCUUCCAUUUUCCUUCAUUCAACUGACACCCUCCAGUUGUAAUCUGAUGGCUCUUACCAAGCAGCAGGCCUUGUGGGGUAAAGUAGUAUAGGGCCCUUAGAAUCGAACCAACUGUUGCAAGGUAGCAAAUCAGCCUUCAAGUAGUUUUUAGUGUCAGCAGGAAAACAGACUGACUUCUAUGUGCCACUAACUAAGAAAUAUUGCCAGUACUGGGGCUGAAAGAUCACACAUGUAAAAUACCUAGUUCAGUACCUGGUAAAGAACAGUUAAUUUGUGAAACAUCGUGGUGGUUAUUGCUCCCUGAGGCCUAAUCUCUAGGGCUUUCCCCUCCUGUUCCCGUCCAGGAGUCUUGGGUGUUUGCUCUAAUGCAUCCUUUGCAGGGGAUGGAGGAGAGGAUGGCUGCCCUCUGCUCUUUCUUCUCUGGCAAACUCAUCCUACUCUGGAUCCCAGUUUGUACAUCUAUAUGCUAAGGGUGUUGGACUAGUGUAGGGGCUUUUAUUUGGAGUUCGCAGAUAAACUGCAAAGGGGCCUAUGAACUCCUUAAACCAUGACAAAAAUUAUUCCUGUGUGUGUUAUGGGCAGCCCUGCUGACUCUAAUAUGUGAAGAACCACCAUCUUUGAUGCCCCUAAGGGCAUAAAUCUUCUGUCAUAUCAGUUACUCAGGGUCCCAAAGUUUGAUACACAUGCUCCUGGUGGUUCACAAAAUGAUUUCAGGUGGUAUGUGGGUGCAUGUUUGUUACAUUGAUAAUUAUGUGAUUAAUGUUAGGGAAAAACCUAGCAUAUCAGAGUUGAAAUUUCAUGCAUAUUAUUUCUUUGGAGGAGGCUAAGUCUUGCUUUUAAGAAAAGGUGACUUAAAAAAAUGUUACAUGAGUAAUAGUACAAAUGUGAGUUGAUUCUUAAGUUUGAGAUACAAUGAUUGGUCCCAACCCCCGACGUGGUACAGACAGAGGAGCUGAGUCCGGAGAAGUGGAGAAAAGGCCAUAAAGGAAGUCGGUGGUAAAUGUAGGCCAAUAACCCAGUGGCCUUCUGCAAAAUCAUCACUCUCUAUGACUGGCAGAAGUUUCUGACUCUCUCAUGUCUCCUCCAAGAACACUGUCCCAGUCAGGACAGAAAUCUUGCCCAGAGAGUUUACACCUUAGCCACUUUACUUGAGAUGCCUAAGGCGAGGCUUUCCUUGCAGGAAAAAUGAGAAAUACUGAGAAAGUCUCGUCUUUGUUCCCAUGCUCCCUCAAUUCUGAGACGUACUUUUUUACAUUUUAAUGUUCCUGAAAUUGGGCUGCAUCUAACAAGACUGUUUUUACCUAAGGUGACAGUUAUUUCCUUGCCAAAAAGCUAUUAGUAAAUGGAUAGUAGCUUAGAAUUGAGAUAAAAUGAUUCUUUCACUAUUUUUUCCUCCUCCAAAGCAAAUUACACUUGAAAGUCAGGACUUCUAAUACAUCUGUAAACUGAAAGAAAAUUUCCCUUUCAUUGAAA